UACGGAGGGUGCAAGCAUUGAUCGGAAUUACUGGGCGUAAAGGGCGCGUAGGCGGCCAUAAAAGUCGGAUGUGAAAUUCCAGGGCUCAACCCUGGAGCUGCAUUUGAAACUGUGUGGCUUGGGAACAGUUAGGGUAAACGGAAUUCCACGUGUAGCGGUGAAAUGCGUAGAUAUGUGGAAGAACACCGGUGGUGAAGACGGUUUACUGGGCUGGGGACCGACGCUGAGGCGCGAAAGCAUGGGGAGCAAA
This 250-nucleotide ribosomal RNA is filed under the name uncultured bacterium. RNAcentral describes it as "partial 16S ribosomal RNA". It matches the Rfam family "Bacterial small subunit ribosomal RNA", at positions 524 to 772 of the family's 1533-position model. The record is from RNAcentral.